RNAcentral lists this ribosomal RNA (465 nucleotides) under Vreelandella stevensii. RNAcentral's name for it is "partial 16S ribosomal RNA". It matches the Rfam family "Bacterial small subunit ribosomal RNA", at positions 338 to 795 of the family's 1533-position model. The record is from RNAcentral. Lineage: Bacteria; Pseudomonadati; Pseudomonadota; Gammaproteobacteria; Oceanospirillales; Halomonadaceae.
CCUACGGGUGGCAGCAGUGGGGAAUAUUGGACAAUGGGCGAAAGCCUGAUCCAGCCAUGCCGCGUGUGUGAAGAAGGCCUUCGGGUUGUAAAGCACUUUCAGUGGGGAAGAAAGCCUUGGGGCUAAUACCCUCGAGGAAGGACAUCACCCACAGAAGAAGCACCGGCUAACUCCGUGCCAGCAGCCGCGGUAAUACGGAGGGUGCGAGCGUUAAUCGGAAUUACUGGGCGUAAAGCGCGCGUAGGCGGUCUGAUAAGCCGGUUGUGAAAGCCCCGGGCUCAACCUGGGAAUGGCAUCCGGAACUGUCAGGCUAGAGUGCAGGAGAGGAAGGUAGAAUUCCCGGUGUAGCGGUGAAAUGCGUAGAGAUCGGGAGGAAUACCAGUGGCGAAGGCGGCCUUCUGGACUGACACUGACGCUGAGGUGCGAAAGCGUGGGUAGCAAACAGGAUUAGAUACCCGAGUAGUC